AUGGCGAGGCAUCGCCUCCUCGCCGUGCUCCUCAUCGGGAUAGUUGCAGCCUUCGCCUUCAACCAAGCAGCUGCGGCUGGCCGAGGCCUUGCUGCCGUCGAGAAGUUUGCAGAGCUAGAGCCAAAGCCAGAAUCCAAACCAGAGCCAAUGGCCAAACCUAUGCCACACCCAGAGCCAGAGCCUUGCAAACCUGAACCGAUGCCCAAACCCAAACCAAAGCCCGAACCAAAGCCCGGACAGAAGCCCGAACCAGAACCCAAGCCCAAGCCGAUGCCAAAACCAAAGCCCAACCCCUGCUCCAAACCAAAGCCAGGUCCUAAGCCCGAGCCAAUGCCGAAACCCGAACCAAAGCCGGAGCCCAAGCCUAAACCUGAACCGAAACCGAAGCCGCCUCCUAAGUGCAAACCACCGACAGCUCACAGUUGA
RNAcentral lists this ribosomal RNA (426 nucleotides) under Triticum aestivum (bread wheat). Its description in RNAcentral is "partial small subunit ribosomal RNA". The record is from RNAcentral. Lineage: Eukaryota; Viridiplantae; Streptophyta; Magnoliopsida; Poales; Poaceae.